UGCUGUCAUAAAGUUCAUCCGUUGAAUCAAAAUAAAAUGAUAAUAAUAAUUUGAGGACCUGAUGUUACGAAAACACACACAUAUAUAUACAUAUAUUUUAUCAACAAAAUAGAGUUAACACAUAUAAUGAGGUGAAGGCGUUUGGUAAAGUUAAGAAAAGGGGUGGUGAAGGCAGGAGACUUAAGGAGAGGUGCAUCAUAGAUUUAAUCUUAUGAGUUUAUUGGAAAAGAUACAAAGUUAAGAUAAACUCUGAAUAUAAUUUAAAAUUAGCAAAGGCAUAUGUCGAAAAUUAGUUACAUCUGUAAGAAGUUUCAUAUCUAAUGUGGAGUUUUUGCAUAAGCUAUGUGGAGUCCUUGUCCCCUUUUGCCUCAAUGUGGUUCCACCACUUGUUAGAACAGAUUAAAUUCCCAGCAGCAAGAAGUGGAAGGCCAGAACACAUGAAGAAGAAAACAAAGAGAAAGGAAAUGACUAUAACCAAUGUGAUAACCAUUACAGAACUUAAAGACCUACUCAAUGUCUAUGCAAAUUAAUUAGAUCUGAGACAAAGAAAUCAAGGGCUUGGUCAAGAACAAGAAAACGGAGGAGAGGACAAGAAAAAGGAAUGACAAGAAAACAGAAGAGAAGGCAAGAACAAGGAACGACGAGAUCUUCAAAAUGGACAGUAGUUGUCAAAGUCGCAGAGCACAGGAACAUUCUCAACCUAAUUUAUGCUAAAAGAGACAUCAGAAGCAACAUUAAAAGAAAAAAAAUCUUAACAUUCAUACUUCAUGGGAGCAGCACAAACUUCUAAGUGAAUCAUAAGUGACUUAUCUUGAUGGUAGUAGAAUGGAAGAGGUAAUAUAAUUCAUGGUCUCUAUGACUAUCCUACAAUCACUUUUCUGCCUAUGUCUCUUCAAUCAAGCUUCAAACAUUUCAAAAAUUGAAUAAAAUGUCAGAGAAAAAGGAUUUUUGCUGAUUAAUAUUUUAUUGUAUUUUUAUAAGCUCAGUCGUUUCUUCUCAAUGAGAAACAAGUGCAGGCAGUUGAAGUGGGUGAGCCUAUAAGUACCAACAAGUCUCUAAAUUUAAAGUUCCUGGAUUAAUAAAAUGGUGGUUCACAAGGCCUUGGUAUUCCUCACCAACUUUCAAGGUGCACUUGGUAGAUAGUGCAAUUACCAGCCUAAAUAUCAAUUUCAGGCCCUUCUUCAGUACAUUUGAACCUUAAUUGUUACAUAUGUUGCAAUACCAUUUUUGCCCGAUGUAUCCAUUUAGAUUGGGUGCAGAAUUCACCUAUGCUGGCUAAAUUAACCUAGCCUAGGGAGUUGGAUGAGCUAAGAGAGUUGCAGACCAAACCAAGAGAUAGCUUACCAAAAUCAUUCAACAUGAAAUUUGACAACUGUACUCUACUUCCUUUGAACAAUAAACCAGAUCAGUCACUUCAGGAAAUUUGUUCAAGUUUUGAAUGUAUUCACUUCAAGGCUUGAACUCAUAUGGGACUCCAUUUCAACUGUCCAAAUGCUCGAACUGAUCAAACUCAAGCCAUUUACCAUGUGCCUGACCUACUAAAUCAGAGCUAAGGUUUCCACGUGUCAAGCCACUACCAUGUUUCUAUCGAAACUUGUUGGACUGUAUUAAGUAAUACUUCCCCUAUAUUUCCAAGACGAUACUCUUUUUUUGUACCAAAUUUAGUGCAUGUGCAAUAAAAUUCCACAGAAAUCCUUACUAAAAACACCGACUGCAACAUUUUUGCCACAGUAUGAUGUUCACUUUUAUUACUGAAAUAAAUUUCAAUAAGACUCAAUAUCAACCCUAUAACAGGGGUUGAGAGGUCGAAAGGAAAAUUCUUGACAUCUGAGCAACUCUUUCAAAGUAUAUAAUCAUAACAAAAACCAUAAAGCAGAAAGAAAAGGUUCUUCUUAGUGGAAAUCAGCAUCUUAGAUUUCCUGCCAUAAUAUGAUCAAAUUUCAAUAAGACUCAAUAUCAACUCUAAUAACAGGGGUUGAGAGGUGGAAAGGAAAAUUCUUGACAUCUGAGCAACUUUUCAAAGUACAUAAUCAUAACAAAAAGCCAUAAAGCAGAAAGAAAAGGUCGAGGGAGAUCAGCAUCUUAGAUUUCCUGCCAUAACAUGAUCAAAUUUCAAUAAGACUCGAUAUCAACUCUAUAACAGGGGUUGAGAGGUGGAAAGGAGAAUUCUUGACAUCUGAGCAAANNNNNNNNNNNNNNNNNNNNUCAAUGUACUACAUAAUCUUAAUUAAAAGCCACCAAGCAGAAAGAAAAGGUUAUUCUUAGUGGAGGUCAGCAUCUUAGAAUUUCCUACCAUAAUUUGAUCAAAUUUCAAUAAGACUCAAUAUCAACUCUAUAACAGGGGUUGAGAGGUGGAAAGGAAAAUUAUUGACAUCUGAGAAAUUCUUUCAAUGUACACAAUCAUAAUAAAAGGCCACAAAGCAGAAAGAAAAGGUUCUUCUUAGUGGAGGUCAGCAUCUUAGAAUUUCCUGCCAUAAUUUGAUCAAAAGUUGCAAGCUCUAAAUUUGUGCACCUCUUUAGUCCUUCCUACGGUUCUUGUCCUCAGAUUAGCACUUAAAUCUAUAUUCUGGAUCCAUAACUUUAACUGAUGUCUCCUUUGUAAGUAAAGCAGAAUCAAGCAGCACAUGUUAUUGUCAAAAUAUGAUGAGCUAAAUUUCAAUUUCCACAGAUUUGGAAAAGGACUAACUCUGAUGAACUCUGGAAGAAAGAUACUAAUGAUAGAAUUGAAGUUGGACUAUUUGUCUAAUAUAAUUACUAGUCAACACCACAACAAUCUAUUGAUCAGGCACCAUUACCCAGUACAUGUGAGUUUUGACACCAAAAAACGACAGAUAUAUUCCUAUUCCAAGGCCCACUUACUAUAUCCAUAACAAGAAAUUCCAAGAACCAAGAAGAGGAUCGUUAAUGCCUUCAAAAGAUCAUACCAG
This 2927-nucleotide long non-coding RNA is filed under the name Musa acuminata (dwarf banana). Its description in RNAcentral is "long non-coding RNA (MACU_LNC002893)". The record is from RNAcentral. Lineage: Eukaryota; Viridiplantae; Streptophyta; Magnoliopsida; Zingiberales; Musaceae.